UACGAGGGGGGCGAGCGUUGUUCGGAAUUAUUGGGCGUAAAGGGUGCGUAGGCGGUUUGGUAAGUCUUAUGUGAAAUCUACAGGCUCAACUUGUAGUCUGCAUGAGAAGCUGCCGGGCUUGAGUAUGGGAGAGGUGAGUGGAAUUCCUGGUGUAGCGGUGAAAUGCGUAGAUAUCAGGAGGAACACCUGUGGCGAAAGCGGCUCACUGGACCAUAACUGACGCUGAUGCACGAAAGCUAGGGGAGCAAACAGG
This 253-nucleotide ribosomal RNA is filed under the name uncultured bacterium. RNAcentral's name for it is "partial 16S ribosomal RNA". It matches the Rfam family "Bacterial small subunit ribosomal RNA", at positions 524 to 776 of the family's 1533-position model. The record is from RNAcentral.